UUUUGCUCCCUGGUUCAUUCAGUAGGUUUAGUUCGAAGAAUAGUAUUUUCUUUCUUUGAUUACUGUAUAGAGAAGAGUGUCUAAGAGACCCGCUUGCCGAGCGGAGUCCAUCUGGGGAGGUUAUUCCCUCUACUAAGUAAUUUUAUGCUCUAUGCUUUCGAGGUCUGGCUCAUAGGACAAGCUAUAAUAUGGAAACGGAAUGCUUUGCAAAUGCAGAGUAUCAGAUACUGGUGUUCUAUUGUUCUAUUCAUGACCCUACACAUGAUUACAAGUAUGUUGGCUAACAUGAUAGAUAGUACUACAUGUACGUCCAAUUUUCCUGCAAUUGGUUUAUUAGAUAGCCUGAGUAUUCACCAAAUUGUUCUAUACUUUAUCUUUGUCUUCCCUGAUUUUAAUUAACCCCGUUGAGCUUGUUUAUGACGUAGGCCGAGCCUUGUGUUGUGAGUAUCCCAGGCCGAAUGAUGCUUGAUCUCCUUUUAGAGGAGCUUGAGUUGCCGGCAGCCCGUUACGGUCGAAGGGACUAUUUAAAUAACACCAUGAGUUUCACCAUCAUGUUCUGGACCUCUGUUCCAAGGGAAGAAUGUCAAUUACUAAUUACUAAGUAAACAAUCCAUAGGAUCUGCAUCAUGCAAUGAAGGCAAAGCUCUGUAUUUCCCAUAUUGGUGAACAGGGGAACUUAAGAUCAAGUUAGUUUUAUUGUGUUUCAUAGAUCUUCUGCAUAUCAUAUUCUCAUGCUUAAGAAGGAAUCUUGAAUUUCCCAGAGGCUCAAAAGUUAAAUAAAAACGAUAGAGAUCAUGGUUAGAGGUUACUUUUUGUGUAGAAAUAAUAGGUUAUAUCUUCUGCUUUCUACCAGAAGAAAUGAUAAAUCAAGGUGGAUAAUAACAGGUUAUAUCACAAUAGUGAUCAAAGGGAAUAGAUAUACUUUUGCAAGUCAUCCAUGGAAUUUUAUCAGACAAAUUUAUUUUCUUCAGAUGUGUAAUCCUAUUUUUCCGAGAUAUAUGUAUUUCUUCUUGCUCAUUCUUUUGGGCUUAGGGGCAGUAGAAUAAUCAGAAUAUACCUGGAGUGUUUGUACCAUCUGCAUACACUUUAGCUCAAAAUAAUAAUGUGCUUCCUGUUACUUGCUCUGUUUUGAUAAUGUACAUACAUCAGUUGUGAUAUAUAUAAUUGGUAGCAGAUAAACAAUAUUAGUUUUCCAGUGAAUGAUUUUAGAUUCUUCCAUGAAAGCAUCUCCCCCCUUUUUUCGGUUUUUAUUUCAUGAAAUGAGUUACGAUGACUGUCGUGAUAUAUUUCUUCUCUUAAUAUUUAUUACCAUGAACUAGAGUAUCCAGUGUGUGUAGUUGUAUACCACCUUUUUAGAAAAGAAUCAUAAAUUGCUACUAUACAUUUAUCAGGGUGUGUAGCAUCAGAUCUACACCUUGCAGAAAACAACUCAAGGAGUAAUGCUAAAAUAUUUGUCACUUCUGGUUCAGUCCAGGGGUAAAUUAAAUAUGUAAAGUUCGUCGUGCAAUUUAGAUUGUUAAUUGGAUUAUAUGCAUGAUGAUAUCUCUUCUAUUUUUUUGGUCAAAUACCUUGAGCCGAGGAUAUUAUUAUGACAGGCUUAGCAUUAGUGCAGUGCGGAAGUAACUGUUCUUAGAUUCUCAUGCUAACAAUAAUAUAUUUUGAUCGUUUUCUAUGGUUGAGAAGAUAUAUAUGGUCAAUGCAAGAUUGAAUUUAUUUAUUUGUGGAUACUGGCAGCGCACAUGUCGAUGUUCGGCAGGGUAUCGACAUCUGCGGUUUCACCAUCUCUGCACCAUCCCGAGGUCUUGCAUCUGCUUCUCCUUCUCGGCAGAAGAUGGUAGUCGGUCAAAUAUCUGUAGCCCCUAUGUGUGGUUGUUCAGCAGGGUAUCGCCAACAACGAUUUCCCCAUCUCUGCAUCAUCUUGAGGUAUAUUUGAGCUCCCAAACCCAUCCCUGAUGUGAUUACUAAAUUUAUUGUUUUGAAUUUCACUAAUUUCUUUCCAUGGCUAAUAUGUGUUCAAAUGCUCUAGAUUAUAUGGUGGAAAGAGGAGGCAUAGAGGGGGGGUGUAGUGGGAAGAAGAGAGGGUGAGAGAGGAGGAAGUGGAGACCCUGCCGGCGUAUUGGUGAAAAACCACCUCCCUGACUUUCUACACCAUGGGUUAUCAUCUAAAAUUGAUUUUUAGAGGAAUCAGGACAUGUUCUUUUUUCCUUUCCACAGUUUCUCAUCUAAAAUGGAUUUUUAGAGGAAUCAGGAUCUGGUUCCUGGACCAUUUGCUAUGUACUGAAUGUGUAUGUACCAAUGCAAUGCUUCUGAUAGAAAUUUGAUAUAUUAGAUUGACAAACAUAACUAAAUUAUACAAUUUUUUUUAUAUUUGCAAUGAUUCAAUGACUAUAUUACUGAUUGGAUAUGAC
This 2408-nucleotide long non-coding RNA is filed under the name Triticum aestivum (bread wheat). Its description in RNAcentral is "long non-coding RNA (TAES_LNC013941)". The record is from RNAcentral. Lineage: Eukaryota; Viridiplantae; Streptophyta; Magnoliopsida; Poales; Poaceae.